This 492-nucleotide ribosomal RNA is filed under the name uncultured bacterium. RNAcentral's name for it is "partial 16S ribosomal RNA". It matches the Rfam family "Bacterial small subunit ribosomal RNA", at positions 30 to 507 of the family's 1533-position model. The record is from RNAcentral.
AUUGAACGCUGGCGGCAUGCUUUACACAUGCAAGUCGAACGGUAACAGGCCUUCGGGUGCUGACGAGUAGCGAACGGGUGAGUAAUGCAUCGGAACGUGCCCAGAGGUGGGGGAUAACGCAGCGAAAGCUGUGCUAAUACCGCAUGUGAUCUGAGGAUGAAAGCGGGGGACCAGGCAGCAAUGUUUGGCCUCGCGCCUUUGGAGCGGCCGAUGUCAGAUUAGGUAGUUGGUGGGGUAAAGGCCUACCAAGCCGACGAUCUGUAGCUGGUCUGAGAGGACGACCAGCCACACUGGGACUGAGACACGGCCCAGACUCCUACGGGAGGCAGCAGUGGGGAAUUUUGGACAAUGGGCGCAAGCCUGAUCCAGCAAUGCCGCGUGCGGGAAGAAGGCCUUCGGGUUGUAAACCGCUUUUGUACGGAACGAAAAGGCUCUGGCUAAUACCUGGGGCUGAUGACGGUACCGUAAGAAUAAGCACCGGCUAACUACGUG